CAAUCGGCCCUUUUUAGGGCCACCAAAAAUUACACAAAAACAAUC
Molecule: regulatory RNA element, 45 nt
Organism: Lasius niger
Lineage: Eukaryota; Metazoa; Arthropoda; Insecta; Hymenoptera; Formicidae
Rfam family: Histone 3' UTR stem-loop
About the family: The mRNAs of metazoan histone genes lack a poly-A tail. 3' end processing occurs at a site between a highly conserved stem-loop (modelled by this family) and a purine rich region around 20 nts downstream (the histone downstream element, or HDE).
Source: Rfam